UACGUAGGGGGCUAGCGUUGUCCGGAAUCAUUGGGCGUAAAGCGCGUGUAGGCGGUUCGGUAAGUCCGCUCUGAAAGCCCGGGGCUCAACCUCGGGACGCGGGUGGAUACUGCCAGGCUAGAGUCCGGAAGAGGCGAGUGGAAUUCCUGGUGUAGCGGUGAAAUGCGCAGAUAUCAGGAGGAACACCAAUUGCUAAGGCAGCUCGCUGGGACGGUACUGACGCUGAGACGCGAAAGCGUGGGGAGCGAACAGG
Molecule: ribosomal RNA, 253 nt
Filed under: uncultured bacterium
Lineage: Bacteria
Description: partial 16S ribosomal RNA
Rfam family: Bacterial small subunit ribosomal RNA
Source: RNAcentral